AUUCAUGUUUGGCCCGUAGAUAACAGAAAAAAAAAUACGAAGCGUAGCUAACUGUACAUCUGUGUUGUUUGUGUUAUACGUUUUGAGGCCUAAUGCAUUAGUCACGCUAUUUCCGAGAAAGCGCCCGCAGGUUUCAAAAUAUCGAUCGCACAUAUUUGUCAUUUUGGAGAAUGCACCAACAGAGUGCAUUUUAUUUAAAUGCUUUUUUUUCGCACACCAUCAUCCAGUCCACAGUGUAUUAUGAUCCCGGGAUUGCACUGGAUGAGCACAUGUUCACUAGUGUGGGUCAUCGGAAACGUUUUCUCAGAUCAAAGCUUUUUUGGUUCCGUUCUGGGUCCUGAGUAUCUGUGCAAAAUUUGAGCACGAUUGGUUGCGUCUACACUUUGCGCAUUGCAAUUGAAAUUUGUAUGGGAUUUUGUAUGGGAAAACAUACUUUUUUGCAUUUUUGUCAUAAGUUGAAAAAGUUUGUCUGAAACUUUUUAACCGAUACUGUAAAAUGAUAGCCUAGAAUGUUCUGAAAAACUUUGUUGAAGAUCGCAAAGCUAUCCGAUGCUUGAGAAAAUAGUUAUAACCAACGAAUCGCAUGCAUGUGUUUAUGUUUUAACAUGUAAAGGAAUAAUAAUAGCAACAAAAUCAUGCUGUUUCGCCAAGCAAUGCCAACGCUAUAACUUUUUUCAUAAGCAUCAGAUCACUUCGCGGUCUUCGACAAAGUUGUUCAGGACACCCUAGGCUAUGUUUUCACUUUAUCGGUUACACGGUUUUAUGAAAAUUCGAGCUUGUUAUGAGGAAAAUGCAAAAAAGUGUGUUUUCCCAUGUAAAACCCCAUACAAACUUCAAACGCGAUGCGCAAAACGUAGACAUAAUCGAUCGUGCCCAAAUUUUGCACACUUAUUUGGAUCCUGAAAUGGGAUCAAAAAAGCGUUGAUCUGAUAGGAUACCAUUGAAUUUUUCAUUUUUCCAUAUAAACGAUGACCCACUCUAAUGUUCACAUGCUUUGCAGCGGUGCAAUCGAUGCAAUACUUGAAUUACAUUCAUCUCUCUAUGUAGACACAUGUAUACAUACAUAUCUGUAAUUAAUUGUUGUCCAUGUCCAUCUUCUCUUCUCAUGCGUUUCAUAACAUGGUCAGUGAGAGUUUUUCCUCAUUCAGUCUUAGCCAUCGUGUUAAGAGGUAUGGAUGUAUAAUUGAUCCCAUACCAAUCAUCACAAAGGUGUAAACAACUCAAAUCAUCUGUGUUCAUGAUCAAUUUCGUAUUGUCCAAAGUAGUUUGAAACAUCACAUUGAGUUUGGAAUCGUAGCCCAUAGCGUUUCGGAUCAACAGUUACUGUUGAGUGAAAAUCUAUCACAGUGAAACAUUGCACUUCUUUUUGACAGUAUGUAAAUAGCGCUAUUUGACGAAAUUCUUGAAUUUCAAAUGUUUCUUCUUGAAACAGAGGUUAACCCUUUAUAAGGCAGUGGCAACUAUAUUGCCACCUAAUAGACAUAUUUUUUUCUGUUCGUUUAGAAAAUUUUUACAACUUCUGUUUUAACUGAUGGAUACAUUAGGCCUUUGUGAACACUCAUGAUUUUUUUUUAGCCAUAACAAAUAUGAAUGGGCUUUUUUAGAACAAAAUUUCUGUCCAAAAACUGCCAUUUUUGGGUGUAUAAAGGUUUUUUUGCUCGAACUUCUGUUGUGGUGAGCGAAUUGAAAAUCAAAUUAUGGGGAAUGAAAGGCCCAUGUUCCUUAUACUUGUGGACAAUAUUUCAACUUGAUUGCUUCAUUAGUUUUAGGAACUCAGACUUUUGAAAAAAUGUACUAUUAUAAAUGGGCAUGUACUAAAAUUGCCAUAUUAUUGACCAUAAAUUAUUGACCAAUCGAGUUCAAAUCCACACAUGUAGCUCAUGAAUAUUGGGGCAAUAACUUAUAAAAAAAUCAGCAUGAUUGAUAAACGCAUCACAAAAUAACAACAUUUUAAACUUUGUUGACAAAAAGUUGAAAUUUAGACCAUUUUUUUCAUACAAAAUCGACCAUUUAAUUUUUUGAAAAUAAAAUCGUUUUUGUUCAUUACAUCACAUGUACUUUAUAUUCCAAUGUAGAACGAGUAGAUUCCGUGCCUGGUUUUCUCGGCCUUAUAAAGGGUUAAAUAUGAUGUCCCAAAUAGAAAAAAAAAAUGUCGAAGAUUUAACUAGCUCACCCAUAGAAUAAUAGAUCAGGGUCUUAGAAACAAAAGAUCCAUACACUAAAACUGAAUCAAAAAAUACGUCCAUACACAGUUAUCGAUCACACACAGUUACGGAUCACUUUGAUGUUUGAAGUCGAAUAUCUUGCUCAAUACAUAUAUUUUGGCACGAAACUCAUUUUAAUAGCAUGAUUUUAUUUGUUUUCUGAGAUAAAAAGUGAUUUACAAGAGCCUAACGUGAAUAUCCCUAGUAACAAUAAGCAUGCCUUGAAGGUUUAUUCAUGUUUUAUCCUGGUUUUAUACGAGCAUGUGAAAAAGCUAGUUGUUCUAAAUCAGUUUUAUGUGGUAGUUUUUUACUUUGCACUUUUGGCGUUCCAUAAAACUAUCAUAUAACUUCUGCUAUAAACAUCUUCAGUUGAAAACUUCCCAAGUAACAAAUAUACUUUUGUGGCAAUCCUGAAGUAAUUUCUAAGAUAGAAUAAUAAAACAUAGCAAUAAAGCUCUUUGUUCUGCAAAUCCGAGAUAAAAUAGGCAUAAAAUAUUCAUAAGACUAAUCUGGCCCACUCUUCAGGAGGUCUCCAAAGCUGCUUUUGAAGACUGCUUUGAAACUAGUUGUAUUUAUGUGCUUGCACUGAUUUUUUAUUAUAAGAACUUCAAAAAACUUUAACAAGAAUAGCUUGAGGCAUGAUAAUAGUGCUAAUAGUGCAUAAUAAAUAAAAUCUUAUACAUAAGCACUAUGAAAUGUUAAUUGAACUGCGAAUUAAUUUUCAUCAAAUUAAAACGGCUAAAGCAUUUAAAUUGCCUGACAGAUCCACUUUUUCGUUGAUAUGCCACCAAAAACAUAUGAAAAUAACAAAGCGCCUUAAAAAUAAUAUCAAUCAUUAAUAUACGAAGACAUAAAUUUCCCAUAAAAACAAAAGGCUACGCCACUUUUUCAAUUCUUUCUAAACAUGGUUGCCGUUACAAGCGAACAAAACUCAUGCGGCCGCCAUCUAUUGUUAUUACCUUUAAACCAAACCACCUCAAAACAAUGAUGGAACCAAGUUGCAUUGCAUGAAAUCUACAGCACUUAUUGAAGAUUGUUUUUACUAGUGAUGAUUUUAAGGACAAACGUCUUGAAAUCCCGCAUCAACAGUGCAUCAGAAAUUCAGACGCACAAAUCUCAAGAAGCAAGUUUUAAACAACAGUGCAUUUAAUUAUUCUGUUCUUGCUCACUUGUAAUAAGCUUAAAAUAAGAAGAUCAGGUGCGCUGGUUUUGUUUACGGAGAGAUUUGUGCUCUCGAAAUCGUGAGUAGGUGCCAAAGUCGGCCAUUAAGAAGGCCAUUUUGGGAUUCUAACAAGUCUGUCCUUAAGGCAGAUUUGUUCGUCUUAAAUGAAACUUAUUCGUUUUAUUCAAGAGUAACAGUCUUUAAAAAUUGUGUGUUUACCUUUUUGGAGCUAGAAAGCUGUUUCUGUACAUUUCGCGUACAUUCUGCUAUUCUAUUAUGAUUUUGUGCAUUUUUGCAUUAAAUAAUUAAGUGCAACUUACUAAAAUUACACUAUUUAGCAUGAGCAUGAGAAGAGUCACAAUAAGUACCCAUUUCAUUUUCGAUUCAAGUUUCUGUGACCUGUGUGAGAAACUGGAUGAAGGUUGGACGGCAGCAGCAAGCUACUCGCAUUCUUGAUUGGCUACAAAAUGAAAAUUUCGUCGAUAUGAUUACUUUUAAGCACCAAAACGGCUAAAUUAACAGUGAGCAACAAUGUUUGAGUGUUUAUAUUUGCAUAAGCUGUUUACAGUCAAUUUGUUGCAUAAUUUAAUAUUUGAGUUAAUAAGAUAGUUCGUUAUUUUAUCAUCCCUCUUAGUUUUUUGUUCCAGAGUAGUGGCUCUAGCUCAAGAAUUGAAAGCUUAAAGAAGUUUUUAAAGGAGAAUAACUCAGACGAAUUGUACUUGAAUAAACGAAGCAUAAUUUUUUAAUAAAGUUUGUUGAUGUUAUGUGUUGAAAAUAACUUCAAAAACGUCCUAAAACUUAUUAUAAUAUUAAAUGCCUUAGUGAAUCAAGUUGUUUUAUGCGCGAUUUUCAAAAUAAACUUGAAGAAAACUUAAAACCCGCAUACGAACGGAGAUUGUUUUCUCUUGAUAAAAACAACUAUAAAUAUUUCAUGAAUUGAUCAUGCUAUAAUAAAGCUUAUGGAGGUAUAUAAGAACUCGAGAGCACUUUGAAGUUGGCAUCAAUGGUUUUAUGUUUAAAGUUUUUGAAUUGCUAAAAAACUUCGAUAAAAUUAAAAUUUUUACUUGGGAUUUAAUUUACUCGGUUGAAUUGAGUGCAUAAAACGGGGUUUCAACAUAGCGGAGUUUCAAAGACAUUAUGUAAUUUUCCUGAAAAUAAGCAUGACGGAAACGUAUUGAAUCGUUAAGUUUGAUCUCAAGCUGUACGUGAAAUCAUAAUAUUGAGUAAUGAUUUUUCUGUAUUUACAUAAAUUAUCCCUACUAGGCGACAUAUUUUUCUGAUAAAACUCUGUGUUCUUGAUGUUUCCUCCAAUAGGGCUAACCCUCCUGAGGUGGUCAUAACUGAGCUCAUGAUAGAACUAGCGGUUUUAUCACAGCAUUUUUUGGUCUAUGUUACGACCACGAAAUCUUUUGUUGGUUUUAUGCAUUGCCUCACAGUUGUGUGUAUUUGUUUACAAAAAAAGAUCUCCGACAACAACCGCAAAUGCAAGUUUUAUUGAAAUGGUAUAUAAUAAGUGAUAAAACCAAUUCAUGACUACUUGCAAGCAGAGAUGGGACCAUUCAUUUGCAAAGAGUUACAUUCACUUGCUAUUAUCUCAGUUCAGAAGCAUGCUAUCGAAAAACAAUGUAUGGAUGAAUUAAACCUUGUAGUUUUAUCUGAAAGUUUGCCGAAUAACAUUGGGGUCGCACACGCAUACCAAAGUCGUGAGCGAGCUGUGAAGGCAACUCUCCACGCGGUAAAUGUAAAUUACAUUCACGCCGUGGAGAGUUGCAUUUGCUGCCUUCUGUUGACUUAACUAUUGAUUCUACGCUAAUAUAUUCUUCUACAAAGUUUCAGGUAAAACAAAAAUGAAAAAGUGUUCCAUACAUUGAUUUUUGCUGCGAUGUUACUGAAGCGAGUUAACAGCAAGUGAAUGUAAAUGAUUGCAAAUGAAUGAUCCCAUCCUUGCUUGCAAGUCUUCAACUGAAGAUGUUUAUAGCAGACGUUAUAUGAUAGUUUUAUGGAACGCCAAAAGUGCAAAGUAAAAAACUAGCACAUAAAACUGAUUUAGAACAUCUAGCUUUUUCACAUGCUCGUAUAAAACCAGAAUAAAACAUGAAUAAACCUUCAUUGUUACUUGAGAUGCAAUGAUAAAGUUGUCUUCUCACAACUGGCAGAAAUUAGUCAAAUUUCAUAAGAAGCUACUCCUGCAGUAAUAAGCUGUAAAAAGGUCGAAAUCUAUCGAUUUUGAAAUAAAAAUCCGCCGUACACCUUGGAUAAGAAAUGUGAGUAUCUAUGUAGCGGAGUUUUGCUUGACUCUGGGAUUCAAAUACUAAGAUAAGGCUGAUACAAAUUUUAUUUUGAUUUUUUGCCCGGAUUUUGAUAUAUAUUUAUCGAAAUAUCGGGUCAUGCUAAACAUUCUUUAACAAAUCCGAUGAUGAUGAUGUACCUGGGCUUGUUAGGGGAAUAUCUGUAAACAAAAGAUAAUCGUGUUAAGUACUGUUCCUUUGAAUUCCACUAAGAAUUUGCAUCCUUUACGUAUUUCGAUCUCAACUGUAAGGUCGUCUUCAGUGUUUUUGUACUUGACUCGAGUCAAGUACAAACCAGUGAUGCUAUUUUAAAGUUAUAGCCAGUUAAGGCUAUAGUAAUCAAAAACAUGGAAAGUUCAAUAACUACGUAACGGUUGAGAUUUGACCAUAUGCGUACAACAAUUCUUUCACCAUUUAUGGUCCUCUAUCACCCUUUCAAAUGUUUGCACUCACGAACCUAACACCCUGUAUAUACGUACAUAUACAGAGUACACAGAAAAAAAUAAUGUAAUAUGCAUCGAUGUAAUUGAUGCCGACGCACCGAUUCUCAGAUGUAAGCGUGAUUUCCAUAUACAAAAUUACACAAGUUUGAUGCUAUAUCACAUCGGUCUUUAUAUUACACAGAAACAGAUCAACCAAUCUCCUUUACACUGAAUCUGUGUAAUAUUCGCAUCAAGAGGGUGUGAAUAUUACACACAAACAGCUGCAACCAAUUGGUUGCGCUGAUUGUGUUUAAAAUUACACGAAACGAUGUCAUAUCAAAAUUGUUUUGGUACAAAAUUAAGUCUAGCAACACUUCCAGUCUUGUUUUGAUAUAGCUCGCUCAAAAUGGCAGUCAACCGGCCGAGUCGAAGUUUUGCUAAUCUUUGGUGUGUCUACUGCUGCCCGAAAUAUUCGAUUAUGUGGACUCGAAUGAUUCAUCUUCAACAUUGUGUCGCAUCGCUGUGUGUAGCUAAAUAGCAUGGAAAGCCGGAGAACCUGAUUCCCGGCGGAGAUACCGCCGGUUGUAACAUCGAAGUUGCCUGCGGCAGGUCGGUUCGAGCCUUGUCACUGAUCACUGGAAGAGAAGCGGAUGAGAGGAAGUAUCCCCCAAUAGGCAUUUGAACUGAAUUUGAACGAAAGAUGGCAAGAUAAUCUCAGCUAGAAAAGUGAUCUGUAGGUUUUGCAAUCUGCUGCAACUGAGAUUCCAGGACAGGAGCAUCUUUUCUAACCGGAUUAUUCGUCUAUAACUGCAAACUUAUUAUAGAAACUGCUACAUCUGGACGGGAUUCUCUGACGGAUCUUCGAUGUCGCAUAUGCUGCUUUUCGGUAGUAACCAUCACAGCCGUUUCUUCGAGAAUCCCAUCCCCAAUCUGACGGAGGUGGGCAGAUUUUCUGCGCUGAAUAGUAACCCCUAAUGCCGGAUAUACAUCGAUUCAGCGGAGAGUAGAUUUUGACACCGAUGGCAAAACAGGUAUUAUUGCGAGGAGGGGUAAAAAUCGUAUAAACAUGUUUUAUUUUUCUUCUGCUAUUUAAUUAUUACGAUUAUUAUGUAUUCGUUAGAGUUUUCGCAUCUUUUUAUGACUACGAAGCACGCAAGUACUCACUGCGUUUCCACUGGAACUUCCCAGUCUCUUUAACUUAAAAGGGUUCUUUAAAGAAUUCUCAUGGUUAGGAUCGUUCUUCGCCUGCUAUUUCAUGAAUUAUAAUAGAUUGUGUGGAAAGCAAAAGCUCUUUCAGUUCCACCAGAAGUUCUUCAGAAAUUUCUCCAGGAGUUCCUUCAGAAAUUCCUCCAAAAGCUCUUGGAAUUCCUUCAGGAGUUUUAGGGCAUUCCUCCAGGUUUUCCCAAGAGUUUUUCUACGGUAAUUGCACCAGUAGUUCUUCGAAUAUUCUUCCAGCAGUUUAUUUGAGAAUUUAUUCAGAAGCUUCUUGGAGAAUUCCUCCAGUAGUUUCCUACUUCGUUGAUUCGGGAAUGCUUUCAAGAGUUUCUUCGGGAAAUGCUUCAGGAGUUUUUUUGGUAGUUCCUUCCGGAAUCCCUCUAAGAGUUUUUCGUGAAUCCCUCCAGAAGUUCUAUCGACAAUAACUCCAGAAUUUCCUUUGGGUAUUCCUCCAGGAGUUCCUUCGAGAAUUCUUUCAGGAGUUCUAUGUGAAUUUCUGCAGAAGUUCUUUGGGGAUUGAUCUACGGGAGUUCUACGAAAAUUCCAUCAGGAGUUGCUCUGGAAAUUCUUCCAGCAAGUUUUUCGAGAAUUCCUCUAAGAGUUUUUAGGAAAUUCCUUCAGGAAUUUCUUUGAACAUUUCUUCAGGAGUUCUUCGGGAAUUCCUAUGAGAGUUCCUUUGGGAAUUCCACCAUGAGUUGCUUUGGGAAUUCUUCCAGAACUCCCUUCAGAGAUCCCUCCAGCAGUUUUUCUGAGAUCCCUCCAGGAGUUACUUGGGGAAUCCCUCCAGGAGUUCAUUCCGGAAUACCUCAUGGGGUUCCUUUGGGAAAUCCUCGAGGAGUUGCUUCGGGAAUUCCUGGACGAAUUUUUACGAGAACUGCUUCAGAUGCUCCUUCGUGAAUUCUUCCAGAAGUUCCUUCUAUAAUUUCUCCAAGAGUUCUUCGGAAUAUCUUUCAGAAGUUCUGCAGCAGUUCCUCCAGCAGUUCGAAGAAAAUUUAUUUGGGAGUUUCUUUGGAAAUUGCUUCAGAAGUAUUUUCGGAAAUUCUUGUAGGAGUUUCUUCGGCAAUUCUCUCAGGAUUUUCUUCAAAAUCCCUCCAGGAUCACAUUCGAGAAUUCCUCCAAGAAAUGGAGAUUACUCUAGAAGUUCCUCGAGAAUUCCUUUCUUCAGGAAUUCCUCCAGAAGUUUCUUUAGAAAUUCUUUAAAAAAUUACUUCGAAAAUUCCUCCAUUAGUUCUUUAGAUAUUUCUUUGGUUCUACGGAAAAUCACCCAGGAGUUCCUAGGAAAUCUACCCAGGAGUUAUGCAAGAAUUCAGAAGUUUUUUUCGAAAAUUCCUCAAGAAAUGUAUUCGGCAAUUUUCCUAAGAGUUCCUUCCCAAGUCGUAUAUGAUGUUGAAUUGGAUGCGAAAAUUCUUAAGAGAGUUUCUUAAGGAACUGCUACAAGAGUUCUUUUGGGAAUUCCUCCAGGAGUUCUAUCAGAAAUUCGUUCAGGAGAUCCUUCGGGAAUUCCUUCAGGAGUUUUUCUUUUCAGAAGUCAUUGGAGAAAUGCUACAAAAUUCUUUCGGUAAUCCCAGCAGAAGUUCGUUUGAAACACCUGCUGAAGUUCCUUUGAAAAUUUCCCCAGGAGUUUUUCGAGAAUUCAAGAAUUUCUCCGGAUGAUUCCUCUAGGAGUUCUACAAAAAUCCAUCCAGCAGCUUUUUUUGGGAAUUCCGUCAGGAGUUUCUUUGGAAAUUCUUCAAGGGGUUUUUCGAGAACCUCACAGAAGUUCUUUCGGAAUUUCCUCCAGAAGUUUAACAAGAAGCCCUUCAGGAGUUUUUCGAAAAUUCCUCCGGGAGGAGUUCCUUCAAGUGUUCUACGGAAAUUGCUCCAACAGUGCUUCGUGAAUCACUCCAGGAGUUACUUUGGAAGUUCCUUUAGGAGAUCCUUCGAUAGUUUCUACAGGAGUUCCUACGGGAACCUACAUGGCUCCAUUCGGAAAUUCCUUUAAUUUCCUAUGAGAAUUCUUCCAGAAGUUUCUUUCGGGGAUCCCUCCCGGAAUUUCCGGGAAUUCUUCCAGAUUUUCCUUAGAAAAUACCUUCAGAACUUUCUUCAUGGAUUCCUCCCGGUAUUUUUCGGAAAUUUCUUCAGAAGUCAUUGUAAAAUUUCUCUAGGAGUUCCUUCGGCAAUCCCACCAGAAGUUCCUUAGGAAUCCUUCCAGGAUUACCUCCGAGAAUUCCUUCAGGAAAUGUUUGGGAAUUCCUCUAGAAGUGCUUAGAGAAUUCUAGUGUUCUACUGACAUUGCUCCAAUAGUCCUUCGUGAAUCACUCCAGGAGUUCCUUCGGGAAUUCUUCCAGGAGUUCUUGGGGGUUUCCUCAAUAAUUCUUCGUGAAUCUCUAGAAGUUUCUUAGAGCAUCCCUCCAGGAAUUUCUUCGCGAAUGACUACAGAACUUCCUUUGAAAAAUCCUCCAGGAAUCCUUCAAAAGUUUUACAGGAGUUCAUACGGGAACCCUCCAGGAAUUACUUCGUGAAUUCCUCGUGGAAUUCCUUCGAGAGUUUCUCUCGAGUUCUUUCAUGAAUUGCUCCAGGAGUUCCUUUGGGAAUUCCUCCAGAUUUUUUUAUUUUGACAUUUCUCCAGAACUUUAUGAAUUCCUCCAAAACUUCCUUUGGUAAUUCCUCCAGAACUUCAUUCGGGAAUUCCUACAUGACUUCAUUCGGAAGUUCCUUUGAAUACCUUUGAGAAUUCUUCCAGAUCCCUCCUGGAAUUUCUUCGUGAAUCCCUUCAAAUUUCUCUUGGAAAAUUCCUUCAGAGCUUUCUUCGUGCAUUUCUCCAGGUUCUUAACGGGAAUCCUUUCAGAAGUCAUUGUGAAAUUUUUCUAGGAGUUCCUUCGGCAAUCCCACCAGAAGUUCCUUCGAAAUUCCUCCCAGGACCACUUUCGAGAAUUCUUCUCUUCCAAGAGUUUUACGAAUAUUCUUUCAGGAGUUUCUUCAGGAAUUUAUCCAGAAGUUUCUUCAGAAAUUCUUCCACAAAUUUCUUCGAGAACUCCUUCAUUAGUUCUUUAGCAAUUCCUUUGGGAGUUUCUUCGGAUAUCCUUCUGAUUUUUUUUUUGGGAAAUCACCCAGAAGUUCUACGGAAAAUCAUCCAGGAGUUCCUUGGAAAUCUAUCCAGGAGUUAUACAAUAAUUCCUUCAGAAGAUUUUUCGAAAAUUCCUCCAGAAAUUUAUUUGGCAAGAAUUCCUUCAGGACUACUACGUAAAUUCCUCCAGGAGUUCCUUGAAAAUUCGUUCAGGAGAUCCUUCGAGAGUUCCUUUAGGAGUAUUUUUUUAAAAGUCAUUGGAGAAGUGCUACAGAAAUUCUUUCGGCAAUCCCUGCAGAAGUUCCUUUGAAAUUCCUCCUGGAGUUCCUUUGAAAAUGUGCCAGGAGUUUUUCGAGAAUUCAAGAAUUUCUCCGGAUGAUUCCUUUAUGCUUUUUUGAGAAUUCCGUCAGGAAGUUUCUUUAGAAAUUCUUCAAGUGGUUUUUCAAGAAUCUCACAGGAGUUCUUUCGGGAAUUCCUCAAGGAAUUUUACAAGAAUUCUUUGAGGAGUUUCUUCGAAAACUCAUCCGAAAGAAUGAGUUCCUUCAAGUGUUUACGGAAAUUGUCCAACUAUUCUUCGUGAAUCUCUCCAGAAGUAUAUUCGAGAAUCCCUCCAGGAAUUCCUCCGAGUUCUUUCGUAAAUUGCUCCAAGAAUUUCUUCGGAAAUUUAUCUAGAUUUUUCUUUGGACAUUCCUCCAGAACUUUUUCCGUGAAUUCCUUCAAAACUGCUUUUGGGAAUUCUUCCAGAAUUUCAUUUGGGAAUACCUACAUGACUUCAUUCGGAAAUGCCUUUGAUUACCUUUGAGAAUUUUUCCAGGAUCCAGGAGUUGCUUCGAGAAUUCCCUCUAGAUUUUCUUUUGGGAAAUCCUCUAGUCUUUUUGGGGAUGCCUCCACGAGUUACUUCGAUAAUUUCUCCUACAGUUCUUCCGGAUUUCUUCUAAAAGUUCUACUGGAAUUCCUCCAGGAAAUUCCAUUCAGGAGUUUUUUUUUUUUAAUUCCUCCAGGAGUUCUAUCGGGUUCUCUUCUAGGUGUUCUUUCGGAAAUACCUCCAGCAGACCUAGCGGGAAUUCUUCAAACAGCUCGUCGUGAAUGCUUCCAGGAGGUCUGCGUAAAUUCCUUCAAAAGUUUUUUUUUUUGAGAAUUUACUUCGGGAACUACUGCAGGGGUUCCAUCAGAUAUUUGUCCAUGGGUUCCUUUGGGAUUUCUUCCAACAGUUCCUUUGGGAAUCUUUCUCGGAGUUUCAUCUCAAAUUUAUGCAUAGGUUCUUCAUGAAUUAUCCUGUUUUCUUGGCAAUUCCUUCAGAAGUCAAUGAGGAAUCUGUCCAGGAAUUCCUUCGGAAUUCCUCCAGUUCCUUUAAGAAUUCAUCCAGGAGUUCACGGGAAUUUCUUCGGAAGUUCUUUGGGGAUUCCUCCAAGAGUUCUACGAAAAUUCCUUCUCAGAAGUUUUUUCGCAAAUUCUCCCAAGAAUUUCUCAUAGAAUUCCUCUAGGAGUUUUUCUGAUACUACAUAUUCCUUCAGGAGUUUCUUCGGAUAUUUCUCCAGGAGUUUUUCGGGAAUUUCUCCAGGAGUUCUUUUGGGAAUUCCACAAGAGUUCCUUUGGGAUUUCCUUCGGGAGUUCUUUUGGAAGUUCCUCAAGAACUUCGGUCGGGGAUUUCUCCAGAACUUCUUCCAGGGAUCCCUUCAAGUGUUUCUUAUGGAAUCCCUUCAGGAGUUCAUACGGGUUUACCCCCUGGAGUUUUUUUGAGAAAUCAUAUAGGUGUUCCUACCGGAGAUCCUUCGGCAUUUACUUCAGGAAUUCGUCUAGGAGGUCUUCGGAAUUCCUCCAGAAAAUCUACGGAAAUUUCACCAAAAGUAACUUCGGAGUCACUCCAGCAGUUUCUGUAGUUAUUAGAUUAGGAGUUCUUUUGGAAAUUUUUCCAGCAGUUUCUUUGGGAAUUCGUUCCGGAGUUUCUUCUCGGAUUUAUGCAAGAGUUCUUCAUGAAUUCGUUCAAGUAUUUUUCGGGGAUCCCGUCGAAAGCCAUUUGUGAAAUUUCUCAAGGAGUUCUCUCGGUAGAGUUUGCUCUGUAUAGAUGUUGCUUCGAAAUGCCUCCAGGAGUUCUUUCGAGAAUUCCUCCAGGAAAUCUUUGGGAAUUCCUCUAGAAAUUCUUCGAAAAUUCUCCCAGGAGUUGCACGAAAAUUGUUUUAGGAGCUUUUUCAUGUAUUUCUCCAGAAGGUUCUUUGGAAAUUGUUCUAGAAGUUUCUUCGAAAAUUUCUCCAGCAGUUUUUUAGAAACUUCUCCGAGAAUUUCUUCGGAUAUUCCUCUUGGAGUUCUUUGAAAAAUUCUUUUGAGGAGUUCUACGGAAAAUCAUCCAGGAGCUCUUCGGGAAUCUCUCCAGGAGUUUUUUCGUGAAUUUCUCCUGGAGCCUUUCCGGAAUUACCCUAGGGGUUCUAUGGAAAUUCCUUCAGAAGUCAUUAUAAAAAUUCCUCCAAAAGAUUUUUUAAAAUUCCUCCAAGUGUUCAUUGUGGAAUUUUUCUAGGAGUUCUUUUGAGAUUUUUUUAGAAGUUUCUUCGGGAAUAUGUUCAUAUGAGUUUCUUCGAACAUUCUCCCAAGAGUUCUAUAAUGGUUUCUUCGUUUCCAGGCUACAAAGAUUUUUUGGAGGAAUCCAGAAGGAAUCCCUGAUAGAAUCCUGAGUAAUUCCCGAAGAUACUUAUGAAAGAAUGUUCAAAGCAACUCCCAGAGGAAUUUCCCCAAAAAACUCCUUAAGAAAUCCCUUUAGAGCUGCUGAAAGAAAUUCUAAAGAUUUUCUGGAGGAAUUUCUAAAGAAUUCCUAGCUGAAUUCUCGGCGGAUAUCCUGGAGGAAUUCCUGAAGGAACUUCCGUAGGAAUUCCCGUAGGAACUCCUGGAGGAGUUUUCGAAUGAAAUCCUGAAUGAAAUUUGUUAGGGAAUUCCGCCAAAGAUUCCUUCGGAAGUUUUUUCAGUAAUUCCUCCAGAUGUUCUUUAGGGCAUUCCUCCAGGAGUUUGUUCGGGAAUUCAUCAAGUUGCUGCUUCGAGAAUACCUCUAGGAGUUUUUUCGGAAAUUGUUUCAGGAGAUCCACCAAGAAUUCCAUCAGCAAUUCUUUGGAAAUCCCUCCAUAAGUUCUUUGGAAAAUUGUUUCAGAAGCUCUAGAGGAAUUUCUUCAAUAGUUUUUUAGGGAACGAAGGAAUUUCUUGGGGAAUCCCCAAAGGAACUUUUUUUAAGGAAUUACCGAGGCACUCAUUGAAGAACUUCUGGAAGAAAUCAUUAGGGAAUUUCCUGUAGAAGUCCUGAAGGAUUUUCAGAAGGAACUCAUAUGAACGUUUCCCCGAAUAAAGAAUUCCUGAAAGAACUCCUAGAAUAAUUCUCGAGGGAACUCUUGGAGAAAUUCCCGUAGAGUUCAUGUAGGAACACCUGAAAUAAUUCUGCAGGAAUUUCCCUAGAACUUCUAAAAGAAUUCCAGAAAAUCUCUAGGGGAAUUUCACGAAAAAUAACUCCUAAAAGAAUUCCCGAAGAACUUUUGGAGAAAUUCCUCAAGAAUUCCUAGACGAACUCACGAAGCUACUGCGUGAAAGAUUCACGAAGAACUCCUGGAGUAAUUUCCAUAGAAGUCAUGAAGGAACUCCUAGAGGAAUUGGGUUUUUAAAUUGAGAAAAAUUUAAUGAUAUAAUAUUUUUAAACGAUAGAGCACCUCUUUCUGAGCCACUAUGAUUUUUUUUCGGAUUUUUAGAACUUUAUUUUGAUACCCAAAAUAAAUUUCAAAGAGGUUUUUUCAAAACACCUUUCGACAGCUGGGCAACUGUUUGACAGCUCCGCCUAGUACAAAAUCCGGCGAGGGAUGAUUCAUCAAAUCGCUCCCAUUCAAACUUCAAAUUGAUUUUUAACUAGGUUCCCGGGCACCAAAAUUCAUGAAAAUUUGGAUUUCGGCUCAGUUUGACAUGCAGAUUCAGAAUAUUGAAUUAUCUCAACACAGUUAAAGAAGCCAAUUGCUAAAGAACUCCACGAGAAAUUUUCAAAGAAACUCCUGAAGGGGUUCUUGAAAGAAAUCCAGAGGAGAUUCCCGCAGAACUCCUGAAGGAUUUCCCAAAUAACUUCUACAGCAAUAUCCAUAGAAACUUCUGAAAGAAUUGCUAAGAAACUCCUGAAGGAGUUUUUGAAGACAUUUCUGUAAGAAUUUCCUAAGAAACUCCUCGAGGAAUUCCCGAAGAAACUCCUAAAGAGAUUUUCGUUGAACUCCUAGAAAAAUUGCCAAAGAACUUCUGGAGAAAUUUCCGAAGAACUCCUGGAAGAAUUUCCGAAGAACUCUGGCAGAAUUUUCGAAGGAAUUUUAGAAGGAAUUUCAAAGGAGUUUAUGGGGUGACUGCCGAAACAAUUCCUGGAGGAAUUUCCCAAGAAAUCCUGGACGAAUUCCCCAAGAACUCCUAGAGAAAUUCCUGAAGCAACUCCUGGAGCGAUUCACAAAAAAUUCCUUAAGUAGCUUCCGUUGAACUCCUGAUGGAACUCCUAGCUGAAUUGCUAAAGAACUCCCCAAGAAAUGAAAAAAAAACUGAAGAAAUUCUUGUAGAAUUCCUGGUGAGAUUCAUUAAGAACUCUUGGAUGAAUUUCCUUAGAACUCGUGAGGAAUGUUUCCCAAAGAACUCCUGGAGGAAUUUCCAAAGAAACACUUGAAGAAAUUCCUAAGGAACUCUUGAAGGAAUUCUUGAAAAAAAUCUUAUAAGAAUUUCCUAUAAAACUCCUGGAUAUAUUUCCGAACAAACUCCUUAAAAGAUUUUCGUAGAACUUCUAGAGGAGUUCCCAAAGAACUUCAGGAGGAAUGAUCGAAGAAUUCCUGGAGGAACUCCUGGACGCAUUGCGAACUUCUGCAGCAAUUUUCGAAGGAACUCCUGAAGGAAUUCUUGUAGAACUCCUGGAUGAUUCCCCAAAGAGCUCACGAAGGAAUAUCUGAAGAAACUCCCGAAGGAAUUCCUAAACAACUGCUGGAUUUAUGGAAGAAUAUUGGAGUAUGAAAGAACUCCUGGUAGAAAUUUCGAAAUAACUCCUGGAGGGAUUUCGAAGGAACUUCUGCAGAGAUUGCCGAAGAAACACUUUGAGAAAUUUCACAAUUACUUCUGAAGGAAUUCGCGAAGAAUACCUGGAUGAAAUGAAGUCAUGGAGAAUUCUUGUAUAAAUCCGAAAAAAGAAUUUCCGCAGAAAUUCCCAAAGGAAUCCAUGAGGGAAAUGCUUGAGCAAUCCCGGAGGACAUAUCUGGAGGAGUCCUGGAGGGAAUUCCUGAAGGAGUUCCGGAAGGAAAUCCUGGAGCGAUCCAUUUCCUGAAAAGAUCCUGGAAUCUGGAUUUUAUAAAUCCCAAAAUCUUGAUUUGGGAAUACAUAAACUUCUGUAAGAAUCCCAGCAGAAUCUUCUGAAGGCACCUCAGUAAAAAAAACACUAUGAAAGAAUCCCAAAAGAAACAACUAGAGGAAUCCAAAAAAGCUCCUCGAGGAGUCUUUAAAGAAAGAAAAUCAAACUAUGAUGUAUCUUAGGAUCAAAUUCCUUGAAAACGCUCAUAACUUGACUAUCCCCGAACUGAUGAAGUUCAAAAAGAAAGAUGUUUUUGAAUACCACGUUGAAGAGCUCUUGAAAAAAAUUCUGAUAUGUAUCACUCCUGCAGUCGGAGCUCGCAGAGAAAAAUGGACGUUCUUGAGAAUUUUCUCUUAUGGAAUAUUUAUUUCUUUCACUCCUUGGAGGAAUUCCUAGGAAAUUUCUGCCGUAAUUCUGGCAAGAAAUCUUCUCUGAAAAAAAGAAAAAAAAAACUUCUUAGACACUUGUUGUUCAAUGCGCCAAGAAUGUCCGCAUAAAAUAAUAAUUUUCUAUCAGGUUUUCUAUUAAUAGUUACUUAUACUUUUUUUUGUAUGUUUCAGGAUGAUAAUGCAAUACGUCUUUGAGCUGCAUUCGCUCUGCCGUCGUCGGAAAACCGUUAUUUAGCUAAUAAGCUCGACGAUCCGUAUACAUAUAGCCAAUGCGGUAAACACGCAUGAGUUCGCCUAAUGGUCAGUUCCAGAUCCUUUCGUAAUAUAAAUAAUUUUGACCUCUUUGGGCGUCUGCAUGCCUGUACCAGCCAUAAAAUUAAAAAUAGUUAGAAAAUAAGGCCUCGUGAUUAUGAAGUGCUCAUAGACCCGCAAGAUAGUGUGCAGGUUAUGUGACAGUUGGGAUGUAAAGUCAGAAGAAAAUAAGUUAAUAAAUAAAUUCUGGUGCAAACUUA
Molecule: long non-coding RNA, 16564 nt
Organism: Aedes albopictus (Asian tiger mosquito)
Lineage: Eukaryota; Metazoa; Arthropoda; Insecta; Diptera; Culicidae
Exons: 2
Source: RefSeq, a predicted model, not a curated record